UACGAAGGGGGCUAGCGUUGUUCGGAAUUACUGGGCGUAAAGGGCGCGUAGGCGGCCUUGUCAGUCAGGCGUGAAAGCCCCGGGCUCAACCUGGGAACUGCGCUUGAUACUGCAAGGCUUGAGUUCCGGAGAGGAUGGUGGAAUUCCCAGUGUAGAGGUGAAAUUCGUAGAUAUUGGGAAGAACACCGGUGGCGAAGGCGGCCAUCUGGACGGACACUGACGCUGAGGCGCGAAAGCGUGGGGAGCAAACAGG
This 253-nucleotide ribosomal RNA is filed under the name uncultured bacterium. RNAcentral's name for it is "partial 16S ribosomal RNA". It matches the Rfam family "Bacterial small subunit ribosomal RNA", at positions 524 to 776 of the family's 1533-position model. RNAcentral also lists the same sequence under 1 other name. The record is from RNAcentral.